Polyodon spathula (Mississippi paddlefish) is the source of this 153-nucleotide ribosomal RNA. RefSeq annotates it as 5.8S ribosomal RNA. The transcript has a single exon. NCBI's taxonomy places the organism in Eukaryota, Metazoa, Chordata, Actinopteri, Acipenseriformes, Polyodontidae. The record is from RefSeq and is a predicted model, not a curated record.
UAAUUUCGGUGGUGGAUCACUUGGCUCAUGCGUCGAUAAAGAACACAGCUAGCUGCGAUAAUUAAUGUAACCUGCCAGGCACACUGAUCAUCGACACUUCGAUCGCACUUGGCGGCCCUGAGUGUUCCCAGGGCCACAUCUGUCUGACGGAUG